UUAAGAGCAUAUGGUGGAUGCCUUGGGAAUAGACGCCGAUGAAGGACGCGGUACACUGCGAUAAGUUUGGGCAAGAUGUGUACAAUCGUUAGAGCCCAAAAUCUCCGAAUGGAGAAAUCUGUUUAGGGUAAUGCCUAAACGAACUAGUGUAGUAACUAGUUAAUCGGGAACCUGCUGAAGUGAAACAUCUCAGUAAGCAGAGGAAAAGAGACAGACAUGCAAUUCCCCUAGUAGUGGCGAGCGAACGGGGAAUAGCCAAAAACUUCAGUAAGCCAUGUUGCUGGAUUGAAGAGUUCUCUCCGGAGAACUUAGAUUGAGAGCAACUGCCCUGUUGGGGGAUUAAGGCACUGUAAGGGUUGUCGGGAAAUUACGUUCUGGUCCAACAACCAGAGAAAAGGUGUAAAAAACUUACAUAAAGUAGAAUUAUUUGGAAAAAUAAGCCGUAGAGAGUGAAAGCCUCGUAUACGAAUUGUGUAAGUUACCUUUUGGUAAUUAUCCCAAGUACAACAAGAGCACCGAGAAGUCUUGUUGGAAUCGCCCGUGACUACGCGGGAAGGCUAAAUACGUCUAUUCACCGAUAGUGAACUAGUACCGUGAGGGAAAGGUGAAAAGAUCCCCAGGUAGGGAAAUGAAAGAGAUCCUGAAACCAUAUGCUUACAACAAGUGGAAGGGGUUUAAACCCUGACUACGUGCCUAUUGAAGAAUGAUCUGACGAGUCAGCUGUGUAAGGCAAGGUUAAGGUCGAUGGUGACUGUAGCCGUUAGUGAAAGCGAGGGUUAACUGCCCGUUUAGUCUUACGCACUGGACCCGAAACCUAGUGAGCUACCCAUGGUCAGGUUGAAUUUAGGAUAAAACCUAAAGGAGGACCGAACUCGUGACGGCUGCAAACGUCUGGGAUGAACUGUGGGUAGGGGUGAAAUGCCAAUCGAACUAGGUGAUAGCUGGUUCUCGCCGAAAUAGUUUUAGGGCUAGCCUCGAGUUAAAGUUUGCAGGAGGUAGAGCACUGAAUGUGUUUAGGGCCCUUGGGUACCUAACACAAACAAACUCCAAAUUCCUGUGUAACGUUCCUCGGGAGUCAGACUGUGGGAUCUAAGUUUCAUAGUCUAGAGGAGAAGAGUCCAGACCGUCGAAUAAGGCCCCCAAAUCAUAGCUAUAGUGUAAAAGAGGUGGAAUUACUAAUACAACCAGGAGGUUGGCUUAGAAGCAGCCAUCCUUUAAAGAAAGCGUAACAGCUCACUGGUCAAGUAGUUCUGCGCUGACAAUGUAUCGGGACUAAGCUAUGUGCCGAAGUCACGGAUUGCAAUUCGUUGCAAUGGUAGGCGAGCGUUCUAAUCGCGGUGAAGCAUAAGAAGAAAUUCAAUGUGGAGCGAUUAGAAGUGAGAAUGUCAGAAUUAGUAACAAAUGAUGUAAAGUGAAAAACUUUACCACCGAAAAUCCCAGGUUUCCUACGCCACGAUUUUCGUCGUAGGGUUAGUCGGCCCUUAGUGAGGUUUCUAACGGAGCCUUGCGAUGGACAUAUGGUUAAUAUUCCAUAACUAGGUGUAAAUGUGAUGGAGUAACGCAAUUUGGUAGCUUUAGCGGUUUUUGGCUAUAGCCGUUGGCAGUUUUAGAAAGCUGAUAUGUGGCAAAUCCAUAUAUCUUUGGUAAGUUUUCUUAACGAAACUACUGCCACUUUCGAGAGCUGUCAAAACUCUCUCAAGAGAGAAUUAAGGUGAACCAAGUUGCCAAGAAAAACUUCUAAACUUAGUUUACGCCUAUCCGUACCGCAAACCGACACUGGUGGAUGAGGAGAGAAUCCUAAGGUGAACGGGUGAAUAAUAGGUUAGGGAACUCGGCAAAAAAGCGGUCGUAACUUCGGGAUAAGACCUGCCUCAACUGUUUGAGGCUACAACAAAAGAAUCUCUGCUGACUGUUUAACAAAAACACAGCUCUCUGCUAAUUCUAAAAGAAGAAGUAUAGAGGGUGAUGCCUGGCCAGUGUCAGAAGGUCAAAGCAACCUGCGCAAGCAGUUUGCCCAAGCCCUGAUGAACGCCGGCGGUAACUAUAACCGUCCUAAGGUAGCGAAAUUCCUUGGCAUAUGAGUAAUGUCCCGCACGAAUGGCAUAACAAGUGGAGAACUGUCCCAACCAUUAACCCGGUGAAGUUCCAGAGGGAGUGAAGAUGCUCUCUACCCGUACCAAGACGAAAAGACCCUAUGCAGCUUUACUAUAGGUUGUCGUUGUUAUUUAACUUUGCUUGCUCAGGAUAGCUGGGAGACUGUGAAGCCUGGACUCUGGUUCAGGUGGAGUCAACCUUGAGAUACCAGCCAGGUAAUUUUAAAUAACUAAUUUGAGUGCAACUAACUCAAAGACAGCGGCUGCCGGUUAGUUUAACUGGGGCGGUUGCCUCCUAAAUAGUAACGGAGGCGUCUAAAGGUUGGCUUAGCUAGGAUGGAAAUCUAGCCUCAAAGUACAAAAGCACAAGCCAGCUUGACUGCAAGACCUACAAGUCGCGCAGAUGCGAAAGCAGAGUUUAGUGAACCGAUGCGUCCGAGUGGAAGGCGCAAAGAUCAUCGGAUAAAAGUUACGCUAGGGAUAACAGGCUGAUCUUGCCCAAGCGUCCACAGCGACGGCAGGGUUUGGCACCUCGAUGUCGGCUCGUCCCAUCCUGGGGGUGAAGUAGCUCCCAAGGGUUUGUCUGUUCGCCAAUUAAAGGGGCACGCGAGCUGGGUUCAAAACGUCGUGAGACAGUUUGGUCUUUAUCUGGUAUGGGCGUGCGAAAUUUGAGAGGGCAGGUCUCUAGUACGAGAGGACCGAGACCUAUGAGCCUCUGGUGUAUCGGCUGCACUGCCAAGUGCACUGUCGAGUAGCUAUGCUCAGUUUGGAUAACCGCUGAAAGCAUCUAAGUGGGAAGCCGUCCUCAAGAUUAAAUUUCGUAGUGAUUUUAUCACGACAGGCUCCUGGAAGACUACCAGGUAUAUAGGCUAUAGGUGUAAGACUAGUAAUAGUCUCAGCCAAGUAGUACUAAUCAGCCGAAUUUUAAUUU
RNAcentral lists this ribosomal RNA (3024 nucleotides) under hot springs metagenome. Its description in RNAcentral is "bacterial LSU rRNA". It matches the Rfam family "Bacterial large subunit ribosomal RNA". The record is from RNAcentral.